GAAGCGGCAACAGCUCAAAUUUGAAAUCUGGCUCCUUCGGGGCCCGAGUUGUAAUUUGGAGAGGAUGUUUCGGGCACGGUCCGGGCUUAAAUUUCUUGGAACAGAAUGUCACGGAGGGUGAGAAUCCCGUCUGGAGCUCGGACACGACCCAUGUGAAACUCCUUCGACGAGUCGAGUUGUUUGGGAAUGCAGCUCUAAAUGGGUGGUAAAUUUCAUCUAAAGCUAAAUAUUGGCCAGAGACCGAUAGCGCACAAGUAGAGUGAUCGAAAGAUGAAAAGCACUUUGAAAAGAGAGUUAAACAGUACGUGAAAUUGUUGAAAGGGAAGCGCUGGCAACCAGACUUGCGCGUCGGGGUUCCCCCUUGCUUCUGCCUGGGUUACUCCCCGGCGUUCAGGCCAACAUCGGUUUCGGGGGUCGGUUAAAGGCCCUGGGAAUGUACCUACCCUCCGGGGUAGACUUAUAGCCCAGGGUGUCAUGCGGCCUCCCGGGACCGAGGAACGCGCUUCGGCUCGGAUGUUGGCGUAAUGGUUGUCAGCGACCCGUCUUGAAACACGGACCAAGGAGUCUAACAUCUAUGCGAGUGUUAGGGUGUCAAACCCUUACGCGGAAUGAAAGUGAACGGAGGUAGGAAGCCUUACGGCUGCACUAUCGACCGAUCCUGAAGUUUACGGAUGGAUUUGAGUAAGAGCAUAGCUGUUGGGACCCGAAAGAUGGUGAA
RNAcentral lists this ribosomal RNA (718 nucleotides) under Exophiala spinifera. RNAcentral describes it as "eukaryotic LSU rRNA". It matches the Rfam family "Eukaryotic large subunit ribosomal RNA", at positions 95 to 830 of the family's 3401-position model. Lineage: Eukaryota; Fungi; Ascomycota; Eurotiomycetes; Chaetothyriales; Herpotrichiellaceae. The record is from RNAcentral.